RNAcentral lists this ribosomal RNA (739 nucleotides) under Bacillus thuringiensis. RNAcentral's name for it is "bacterial SSU rRNA". It matches the Rfam family "Bacterial small subunit ribosomal RNA", at positions 758 to 1518 of the family's 1533-position model. The record is from RNAcentral. Lineage: Bacteria; Bacillati; Bacillota; Bacilli; Caryophanales; Bacillaceae.
AGCGUGGGAGCAAACAGAUAGAUACCUGUAGUCACGCCGUAAACGAUGAGUGCUAAGUGUAGAGGAUUCCUCCUUAGUGCUGAAGUAACGCAUAAGCACUCCGCUGGGAGUACGGCCGCAAGGCUGAAACUCAAAGGAAUGACGGGGGCCGCACAAGCGGUGGAGCAUGUGGUUUAAUUCGAAGCAACGCGAAGAACCUUACCAGGUCUUGACAUCCUCUGACAACCCUAGAGAUAGGGCUUCUCCUUCGGGAGCAGAGUGACAGGUGGUGCAUGGUUGUCGUCAGCUCGUGUCGUGAGAUGUUGGGUUAAGUUCCGCAACGAGCGCAACCCUUGAUUUUAGUUGCCAUCAAUUAGUUGGGCACUUUAAGGUGACUGCCGGUGACAAACCGGAGGAAGGUGGGGAUGACGUCAAAUCAUCAUGCCCCUUAUGACCUGGGCUACACACGUGGUACAAUGGACGGUACAAAGAGGUGCAAGACCGCGAGGUGGAGGUAAUUUCAUAAAACCGUUUUCAGUUUGGAUUGUAGGGUGCAACUUGCCUACAUGAAGCUGGAAUCGGUAGUAAUCGCGGAUCAGCAUGCCGCGGGGAAUACGUUCCCGGGCCUUGUACACACCGCCCGUCACACCCCGAGAGUUUGUAACACCCGAAGUCGGUGGGGUAACCUUUUGGAGCCAGCCGCUAAGGGGGACAGAGAGGGGGAUUAGUCGUAACAAGGUACCCGGUCGAAAGGUUCAGG